Molecule: ribosomal RNA, 521 nt
Filed under: uncultured bacterium
Lineage: Bacteria
Description: bacterial SSU rRNA
Rfam family: Bacterial small subunit ribosomal RNA
Source: RNAcentral
AGAGUUUGAUCCUGGCUCAGAUUGAACGCUGGCGGCAGGCCUAACACAUGCAAGUCGAGCGGUAGAGAGAAGCUUGCUUCUCUUGAGAGCGGCGGACGGGUGGGUAAUACCUAGGAAUCUGCCUGAUAGUGGGGGAUAACGUUCGGAAACGGACGCUAAUACCGCAUACGUCCUACGGGAGAAAGCAGGGGACCUUCGGGCCUUGCGCUAUCAGAUGAGCCUAGGUCGGAUUAGCUAGUUGGUGAGGUAAUGGCUCACCAAGGCUACGAUCCGUAACUGGUCUGAGAGGAUGAUCAGUCACACUGGAACUGAGACACGGUCCAGACUCCUACGGGAGGCAGCAGUGGGGAAUAUUGGACAAUGGGCGAAAGCCUGAUCCAGCCAUGCCGCGUGUGUGAAGAAGGUCUUCGGAUUGUAAAGCACUUUAAGUUGGGAGGAAGGGCAUUAACCUAAUACGUUGGUGUCUUGACGUUACCGACAGAAUAAGCACCGGCUAACUCUGUGCCAGCAGCCGCGGUAAU